This is a long non-coding RNA of Mugil cephalus (flathead mullet), 617 nucleotides long. RefSeq lists it as uncharacterized. The record is from RefSeq and is a predicted model, not a curated record. The transcript is spliced from 3 exons. Lineage: Eukaryota; Metazoa; Chordata; Actinopteri; Mugiliformes; Mugilidae.
AAAAAGCAGGCGUGUCCAGGAGGCUGUGGGGUAUUAAUGCAGAGGGAACCCUCAGUUUAGCAUCACACCAGCUGCUUCCUCUGAAGCCCUAAAAACUGCUCCUCUACACUUCACCAGACUCCUCUUCCAACUCUGCAGCUCCUUAUGGCGGUUCUGUGGGUACAUGCAGUCUCUGUGCUGGUCUUACUGGUAACUUCAUGUGAGGGCCAACCCGCUGCAGGACAGCGCCUAUGUGGCUCUGACCUGGUUGAUGCUCUUACCUUCAUGUGUGGACCCAAUGGUUUUUCCAACGGCAAUCGGCAAGGUAUCUCUCCUCUAAAGCCAGACAGAACAGCACCAGGUGACCCGAUGGCGUUGCCGUUAGAGGCGUUGCGGCGGUGCUGUCUUAAUUCCUGCAACAUCUUUGACCUUACGGAUUUCUGUUUGCCUUCUUAGCUUAGUUUAGCUUAGCUUAGCUUAGCUGCCUACUGGCCAACUAAUUGUGCAGCCUCUCCCAUGACUGUGCUGUGAUCUCUCUCUCUAAGCAAGCUGAUUGUAAUCCUAAAGUUAACCCAUAAACAGCAUUAUUUUUACUGGAAAAUAAAGUUCUAUUAAAUGAAAAACAUUUUUUAAAAUGA